UCUCUUUGGGUGAUUGACACUUUGUCUAGCCAAUCUGCUCUCUUUCCCGCACUCCUGGUUCUAUAAGGGUUGCAGGCCCAUUGCAAUCUGUAAGCUUUUUUGGCAUGGGGAGAAGAGGGAAAGGUCUAUCUUUUAGGAGGUCUGCUAUAUCUAGUACCAGGGGGUAGCCUUAAUUUUGCUUCUAGUUUCUAGAUGUUGCUAGAAUAUGUGUAACAAUGAGGCUGCUUCCUGGAAACUUACCCCCAGCCACAAAUCCACUUGUCAGCAUCCUUUGCACGCUGGGGGAAACAGAAGGGGAACAGACUUCCUGUCUCAGAGAAUUUACACACCAAGAAACAGACACACCGGUUCCAACUCCUCUUGCUGCCCGGAAACGGCAUUUGUGAUGCUUAACUGGCUGCAUGGUGCUCAAUAACUCCAGAAGCUGAGCUCCUCAAAGUACAGUGAUACAGAGCAGCGUGUGGAUGGAUGGACAGGGAGAGCAGUGUGUGUUUGGGGAAGGAUAGAUAGUGAGUGAGUGACAGGGCUUCUUCCUGUGGACUUGCUCACUAAGGACCAACAUUUUGGAUUUAAAGCCAUUUUGGCUGGGAGACGAUGCCACCGGCUGCUGCUUAUGGCUCAUGGAUUUCAGGAGAUUUACACCGCGACUGGAGAGAGAACAGUGGUAGGAGCUGUGAGGCCAAUUCCUAUAUUUGAAUUCAGCUGAGAUCUUUUAGAACGCUAGGACCAACGUGAGACCAGCACUUCAGAAGGUAUGUCUGCUUAAAAUCUCUAACUCUUUGGAGAGGAGUGGAAUGAUUGGGUAGAGCACUGGAUUUGGAUUUGCGACACCUGGGUUCCUUUCCCAAUCUGUCAUUGACCCUGUAUGAUCUUGGGCAAAUCACUUCACCUUCCCUGCCUCCAUUCCCCUUGCAUAUUUAGACUGGAAUUUUCAAGGGAACAUAGAGUGGAGUGAAGAGCCCAGAUGGCUCUGGAAUUUCAGGCUCCUUUGAAAACCUGGGUUUAGAUUGCAAUGAAUUUUGGGGCAGGGACUAUCUCUUCCUAUGUUUAUAUACAGUGCCAAGUACUAUAGGACCAUGAUCUAGGUUGGGCCCUAUGGGUGCUACCAGUAUAAUAAUAACUAGGCUCUGCUUUAAUAAUAUCAAUAAAAUGGUCCCCCAGGGGUAUAAAAUGAUAUAACUUCAUGGAAGUGCAUGGAAUGACCAGCUGAGGCCCAAUGCAUUUCAAUCAACUGUUGAGCCUAAUGAGAAGUUGUCCUGAAUCUGUCUUUUCUCACAGGAGUGCCAGUGUGCUUAGGUUUUUGAAAGGAGGUGUGUCAUUGUGGAGCCCCAGAUAUCCAGUAACACAGUGAUACACAACCGUACCAAAUGUCCUUUACCUCAUCUCUAGCUGGGCACCGCAACGUCUUUACUUUUUAGAGACUGAUGCAAAGAAUUCAAGCUAUAGAUAGAAUCCGUCUUUCUUUCUUUCUUUCUUUCUUUCUUUCUUUCUUUCUUUCUUUCUUUCUCCACUAUUUCUGAGUCCACAACCCUGAAAACUUUAGGAAGAAAUAGCCUCCAUGGGGCGUCAUUCCAUAGUCGUCCACUGGGGGUCACUCUUGCACCUCUCAGAAGCAGCUGGCGCUAGCUGUUGCUGGUGAUGAAUUACUAGACAAGACUGGCCCGGUAGCUCCUUUAUUCCUACGCAUCAGUAUAAUUAUUAUAUGAUGUCUCCUCAGUGAUCUUUGUAUUCAGCAAGACACAGUUAUUGUCUUCUGUUCCGGUAUCUGAGUGUCUCAAAUGUUUCAUCUCUGAGCUUUCAGCUUGAUAAACCGUUCAGAGUAAAUUAUAUUGACCUUAAAAUAGUGACUUUAAGGGAAAUUCACCUUCCUGUUUCUACUCAGUUCUUCUUUCCCAUUUCAAAGAUUUCUGAUCGUCGAUGGCAUUUUUAUCCAGCGGACAAAGGCAGGACACCAUUCAAAGGCUAGAGGAUGAAGCUAGACAAAUGGAGACGAGACAUACGACUGUUGAAUUUCAAAGAAGCCUGAGUUGGAAGUGAGUUGGAAGCCAAGUGCCUACGCAGUUGUGUGUCUGCUUCCCUUUAAGGUUCGCGUGGUUGGGUGCGGCACUUACGGAAAACUUAAAUGACUUUUAAAGAAGAGUUUUGUGGCAGUACAUGGGAAAUACCCGUCACUCGCCAAAGCGGCCCUCUGCGAGCGGUUCCAUAGCCGGAGAAUGGCCCGGGGGCUCCGUGUGAAAUGUGUCAGAGCUGAAGGACAUGCCCUGGCGAGCUGGGAAGAAAUCCUCUCUCACCAUCCUGCAGAGCGAGGAGCGGAUGGGAGGCAAGAGGCAUUAAAGCCCUGAGAAGCGGCUUCCCCUUUUUCUGCCACUCCUUGCUCGUGUCUCUCCGGGCGCAGGAACAGGCGGCGGGGUCCCCGGCUGUCAGCGGGCGGAGCUGCAGGGGGACCUGGUUCUUGGCGGGGUCUGCAGAGAUGGUGACUCGGCCCUGGAGAGACGGGGCGUAGUUUGCCCCCCUGCUCUAUGGAUAUGCCCGUCCCGUCCACUCCUGCCCUUGUGGACUGCCAGAUCCAGUGCCAGAAAUAAUACUGAGCAGAGCUGGAGACCCCGGAGACAACGCAGCUCAGGGUGAGGGUCUCUCCAGGCUUCACCGCCCUCGGGCCGGACUGGACCAGCUGCACCCGAGAGAGGACACCUGGGAAAAGGAGAAAAAGGCAAAGAUAAUAUUAGCCAGUGAACAAAUCCGUGGGUCUGUCCCUAGUUCCCCCACUGUCCCAUAGACACUCACAGUUGAAGGCAGAGAACAGGGAAACGAAAAGCAACAGAGAUGGCAGUCUCGUUUCCAGGGAAAGAGAGAAACUCCCCAGCGGGCAGGAACGAGCAGGUCUGUGUCUGGGGGGAGACUGAGGCGCCUGCAACGAGAGGUUUGUGUUUAAAGAGGACCCCCCCCCCGUCGGCAGAGAUUUGCAUGUGUAUUUCUUAGAGUGGGUCUAAGAGAUGAGGGGGGUGAGCGCUCAGCACAUGGCGUUGUCCCCUCGGGGACAGGGGUCCCCUUUACACCCCAGAGAGACCGGGCGCUCAGCUCAGCCCACCUGUAGUGACAGAAGGUGGCUGGGAGGGUCCAGGGCCCUGGACUGGGACCGAAGUGAACUCCAUAGGCUAAAGAUUGGCAUGUGGGUGUCACCCAGGGAGGAUAAACUCCCAGGGAGACAAGGCAGUGCUGGGUAGGAGAGUCCUACAUCGCUUUCCUCUCUGAGCAAGUGACUGUCUCGCCAACACAGAAGUGGCUAUUGCCAAAUGUGCUGGUUAAAUAAAAUAAAUACAAAUAGUCCCUGGGAAAGGCCAAGGCAGAUGAGACGCUCCUAGGAAUGUGAGAUCGGGAGGAGACGGAGCUGCAGGAAAAGGGUGGUUUUAGGUAGCAGAACCCAACAUACCCCUGCAAUGAAUGG
Long non-coding RNA from Chelonia mydas (Green sea turtle), 3445 nucleotides. RefSeq lists it as uncharacterized. The record is from RefSeq and is a predicted model, not a curated record. The transcript has 5 exons. Lineage: Eukaryota; Metazoa; Chordata; Testudines; Cheloniidae.